Molecule: ribosomal RNA, 501 nt
Filed under: uncultured bacterium
Lineage: Bacteria
Description: bacterial SSU rRNA
Rfam family: Bacterial small subunit ribosomal RNA
Source: RNAcentral
AGAGUUUGAUCCUGGCUUAGGAUGAACGCUGGCGGCGUGCUUAACACAUGCAAGUCGAACGAAGCUAAGGGAGCUUGCUCCCAAAGCUUAGUGGCGGACGGGUGAGUAACGCGUGGGUAACCUGCCCUAUAGAGGGGGGAUAACGUUCGGAAACGAACGCUAAUACCGCAUAAACCAUAAGGAGCUGCAUGGCUCUGAUGGCAAAGAUUUAUCGCUAUAGGAUGGACCUGCGUUGGAUUAGCUAGUUGGUGAGAUAACAGCUCACCAAGGCGACGAUCCAUAGCCGGCCUGAGAGGGUGAACGGCCACAUUGGGACUGAGACACGGCCCAAACUCCUACGGGAGGCAGCAGUGGGGAAUAUUGCACAAUGGGCGCAAGCCUGAUGCCCAGCGACGCCGCGUGAAGGAAGAAGGUCUUCGGAUUGUAAACUUCUAUCAGCAGGGAAGAAUAAAUGACGGUACCUGACUAAGAAGCCCCGGCUAACUACGUGCCAGCCGCUGC